GGUGAUUAGUAAAUGAAUAUCCAAGACAAACUUUCAAAAGUAAUCUUUUUUUUUUCUUCACCAGAUUACCAUGGCUACAAGAGUCAUGCCCCACAAUGAACAACCAUAUUCCAUGUUGGUGAAAAGCAGUGGGAGUGCUGCAAACACGAAAGCUCUCCUCGGUGGCUGGGAAGGUCCUCCAGGGGCAGCUUGGCCCAACUGAGCAGACAGGAUGCAGAAUAAGGCAUCAGGUCCAAGUUCCAGCCAUCGUAUCCCUUCCGUGAGUUAUGUGACCUUUUACAGGACACCCAGAAAAUCUCGAAAAUGGCCAGAAGAGACAUACAGAAUCUACGAUCCUUUUUCCUUGGGGGUCCAGUCCUUCUUCAAAGACAUCGGAAAACAAUGGAUUGACCCAGAAACUACAUGCUGCCUGAGGAGCUUCUAUCCCCAGAGAUCUUGCUUAUACUGUGCCACAACCCAGACCUUCUUCACAGGAACAGAGACAAUCAGGCAGGGUGACACAGCUUUAGUUUCAGGCUACUGUGCCACCCAUAGAACAGCAUACAGUUGGUGCCGUCGUCCUGAUUAGACGCUUAGUGGGAUCCACCUCAACUGGUUCCCCGUACAUUCCUUGGGAUGUUUCUUGAUCCACUUGUUUUGCCACACUCCCACAGUGCCCCGACCUGGAUUUGGUCCUCCGGACUACAGUCUCUCCCGCUGGCUAUACUGGAUUGCGACAUUUUUAGAAUCAUUAGAGCCCUCAUAUCAUUUGAGACCUGAAGUUUGAUGGCUAUAUACACCCAGAUUAAAGGUUGCUAAGUUUAGGCUGUUAACAAAUCCACAACCAGCUUAUAAAUGUACUCCUAAUGUUUAUGUUCCUCUCACUAGCCCGGGGUCAUUACAGGAUUUGGCCAUUAAAGUAGUAUUACAACCUACUAGGGAAACAAUAAAAUUAGAACUACUGGCUCAAGACUACCAUCAUUGACAUAAAAAAUGCCAAACCCGACCAAACACCUAUGCCCAUAACUUUAAAAAUAAUGUUUCUUUCUAGGAUCCUCAUCGUCCCAGUUCAGCAGGAAGCAUUUCUUGAGGACGCAGCCCCUAAUCCCCAAGAUUGGACAUUAACAGUUGCUUGAGAAGGGGGAAAUGAGGAGCCAGAGUUUCUCUUAUCUUUACUAAGGCCAAAGUCCUUCCAUUUUAACUAAUUUAGAAUAAACUUCAGUAACACCACUCUUCCCCUCCUUAACCAUUAUUUAGAUUGUUCCAUCAGAUAAAUGGGAAAUAGAUGAAUAAAACCCAUUCCCCUCCGCAGAAGACAUGGUCUGCUAGAACAAAGAAGCAGGAUGUUCUGCUAAGAUAAGAACGGGCUGUAGUGAUCAGUUGAAUAAGGCAAAUUCCAUUCCACAGACCUCAUCUGCACACAUACUAACCAAUAAGUUUAAAGUAUAAUUAUAUAUGUGCACCAAUAGAAUGUUAAGAGAUAUAGACCAACAGAAAUAGUAGAAAUAAUGAAGAAAAUAGCCAAUAAGAAACUUAAGAUUUUCAAGCCUCCUUAGCCCUAUAUAACCCUGUUGUAAUCGUGAUUCUGGGCUCUUGCUCUCUAGUGGACAAGGGUCCGGGUUCGAACCUAUAAUAAACCUCUCUUGUGAUUGCAGUGGAUUCGUUUCUCUGCUGGUCCUUGGGGAAACUGAGAUCUGGGUACAACAUUCACAACCCUGCAAACACUUGUUACUUUCUUUUUAAAAAUAUCCAUCCUAACUUGGGUGAAAAGCUACCUUACUAUAGUUCUGAUUGUCAUUUCCUGGAUGGCUGAGAAAAAGUUUCAUUACUGCAUUUGAAAACACUGGGGUGUGUGUGGGUGUUUGUGGGUGUGUGUGUUUGCGCGCACGCGCCUGCGCGCCUAUGUGUGUGCAUCAUAGUACCAAGUCCUUGAAAAGCCUAAGCUUUAUUAAGUACAGAAUUAUAGAUGUUAAACACUUAAAAACAUCCCUGGAAGUUCAGGUUCUGAUAAUAAUUUCAUACUUAUAAUUAUGCAUUUUGAAUGAUUAUUAUACUUUACGUAAGGGACAGAAUAUUAAAAUUUAGCACAGUAUUCAAAAUUUACAAAAAUAAGUGAGUAGGUGAGAAAUUUAAGUUCUGUCCCUGCAUUGGAUGUGAUGACAGAAAGCUGGAGUCCAGGAUAAAGAAGAUCCUGAGAGUAAAAAUCUCUGGGAAGAGCCCAACUGAGAGGAUGCACAACACGUUGUUUGUUGUUGUUGUUGUUGUUGUUGUUGUUUGUACCAGGGAUCGAACUCAGGACCAUGUGCUUGCAAGGCUGGCAGCAGAACCACUGAGCUAAAUCCCCAGCCCAAAUAUCACAUUUUUAAGGGUUCAAAAAUUACUAGACUUCCAGCUAAGAAAUGAGUAAUCUCAGCUCCAGGAGGAAA
RNAcentral lists this long non-coding RNA (2405 nucleotides) under Fukomys damarensis (Damara mole-rat). Its description in RNAcentral is "lncRNA (ENSFDAG00000024116.1)". Lineage: Eukaryota; Metazoa; Chordata; Mammalia; Rodentia; Bathyergidae. The record is from RNAcentral.